This 410-nucleotide ribosomal RNA is filed under the name Ariadnaria insignis. Its description in RNAcentral is "eukaryotic LSU rRNA". Lineage: Eukaryota; Metazoa; Mollusca; Gastropoda; Littorinimorpha; Capulidae. The record is from RNAcentral.
AAACCGCCUAGAGGUAAACGGGUGGAUCCGCAAAGUCGGCCCGUGGAAUUCAGCUCGGAAGGCCGCGCGCCUGCGUCGGGUCGGGGAUCUGAUAGGACCCUCCCGGCGNAGGACGCGCGUCGACCGUGUGCACUUUCCGCGGGCAGAGCGCCACGACCGGUUCUCGGGCGGUCAGAAGGCGGUGGGGAUGGUAGGCGUGCGUUUCGGCGCGCGCUGGUAUAGCCUCACCUGUCCCGAUCCGCUNGGGGACCGAGGAGCCGCCGUCGGCGUAGGCCGCCUCUUCUUCCCGGAGCGUUGGACCGGCAGAGACUGGGCAACCGUGUCUGCCGACCGCGUUCUUGGACAGGGGUGGGCCCGCCGACACAGGGUCGGUGGCGAAUCGGUCGGCCCUCCACCCGACCCGUCUUGAA